RNAcentral lists this ribosomal RNA (486 nucleotides) under uncultured bacterium. RNAcentral's name for it is "partial 16S ribosomal RNA". It matches the Rfam family "Bacterial small subunit ribosomal RNA", at positions 899 to 1397 of the family's 1533-position model. The record is from RNAcentral.
ACUCAAAUGAAUUGACGGGGACUCGCACAAGCGGUGGAUCAUGUGGCUUAAUUCGUCGGUAAGCGAAAAACCUUACCAGGGUUUGAAACUCAGCUGUAAUCUCUUGGAAACUUGAGACCUCCGCAAGGACAGUUGGGCAGGUGAUGCAUGGCCGUCGUCAGUUCGUGGCUUGAGCUGUUCCGUUAAGUCGGGAAACGAACGCAACCCUUAUUGCCUGUUACAAGUGUCAGGCGAGACUGCUCCCUUACGGGAGAGGAAGGUAGGGAUGACGCCAGGUCAGCAUGUCCCUCUGAUACCCUGGGCUGCACACGUGAUACAAUGGUUAAUUCAACGGGAAGCAAUAGCGUAAGCUGGAGCAAAUCCUUAAAGUUAAUCUCAAUCCAGAUUGAGGUCUGCAACUCGACCUCAUGAAGCCGGAAUCGCUAGUAAUCGCUGAUCAGCAUCGCAGCGGUGAAUACGUUCUCGAGUCUUGUACACACCGCCCGU